GAGCUUGCUCUUCGAUUCAGCGGCGGACGGGUGAGUAAUGCCUAGGAAUCUGCCUGGUAGUGGGGGACAACGUUUCGAAAGGAACGCUAAUACCGCAUACGUCCUACGGGAGAAAGCAGGGGACCUUCGGGCCUUGCGCUAUCAGAUGAGCCUAGGUCGGAUUAGCUAGUUGGUGAGGUAAUGGCUCACCAAGGCGACGAUCCGUAACUGGUCUGAGAGGAUGAUCAGUCACACUGGAACUGAGACACGGUCCAGACUCCUACGGGAGGCAGCAGUGGGGAAUAUUGGACAAUGGGCGAAAGCCUGAUCCAGCCAUGCCGCGUGUGUGAAGAAGGUCUUCGGAUUGUAAAGCACUUUAAGUUGGGAGGAAGGGCAGUAAGCGAAUACCUUGCUGUUUUGACGUUACCGACAGAAUAAGCACCGGCUAACUCUGUGCCAGCAGCCGCGGUAAUACAGAGGGUGCAAGCGUUAAUCGGAAUUACUGGGCGUAAAGCGCGCGUAGGUGGUUUGUUAAGUUGGAUGUG
Molecule: ribosomal RNA, 524 nt
Filed under: Pseudomonas putida
Lineage: Bacteria; Pseudomonadati; Pseudomonadota; Gammaproteobacteria; Pseudomonadales; Pseudomonadaceae
Description: bacterial SSU rRNA
Rfam family: Bacterial small subunit ribosomal RNA
Source: RNAcentral